This 678-nucleotide long non-coding RNA is filed under the name Carica papaya (papaya). RNAcentral's name for it is "long non-coding RNA (CPAP_LNC010510)". The record is from RNAcentral. Lineage: Eukaryota; Viridiplantae; Streptophyta; Magnoliopsida; Brassicales; Caricaceae.
UUGGGUGUUACAUUCUUCCUUGCUUGGAGAUCCAAAAGGAACUUGGGAAUUGUGCCACCACCGUGCGUGCUUCGUCUUCUUCCUAUCUCUUUGCAGACGGAAACAGAGCCGCAAUGUCUUUUUCCUAUCUCUCUCCAAACAGAAAACAGAGCUACUAUCACCACCGUCUCUUCUUGUUUCAAAGAAAAAAGCCAGGAAAACCUACUAUUAACGACCAUCUAUUCUUCCUUUUCCCAUUUUUUUCACUGGUGGUCCAACCGACCAUCCUUACUCUUUUUUUUUUCUUCUUCCUGACUUUCUCUCUGUUUUUUUUAUUCUUUCCUCAAUUUGAUACCAAUUGUUAAGAAAAUAAAUUCUCCAAAUAUGUACACAGUCACAUAAAGUAAAUAGUAAUAAAAAAAAUUUAAUAUUAUUAGGUAAGUAGCGGUAAAAUUGAAAAUAAAUUUUUAUUAUGAUAAAAAAUAAAAAAAUAUCACCAAUAUAAUUAUAAAAUCUUAUAUACACAAAGUACUCGCGUUUUCAUCAAAAUAUUUUCAUAACGCACUAAAAUAUUUUCCAAAAUAUAUACAGAUAAUUAACCUACAUCAACAGUAUGUAUUUUAUAUAUACAUGUACUGGCAUAUAAGUUUAGAUUUUCCACAAAUAAUUCAAUGUAGUUGGAUGAUUUAACUCGUAAAU